RNAcentral lists this ribosomal RNA (118 nucleotides) under Sinocyclocheilus rhinocerous. The record is from RNAcentral. Lineage: Eukaryota; Metazoa; Chordata; Actinopteri; Cypriniformes; Cyprinidae.
GCUUACGUCCAUACCACCCUGUCUGUGCCCGAUCUAGUCUGAUAUCGGAAGCUAAGCAGGGUCGAGCCUGCUUAGUAUUUGGAUGGGAGACCUCCUGGGAAUAGCAGGUGCUUUAGCG